Molecule: non-coding RNA, 347 nt
Organism: Arachis ipaensis
Lineage: Eukaryota; Viridiplantae; Streptophyta; Magnoliopsida; Fabales; Fabaceae
Source: RefSeq, a predicted model, not a curated record
AUUUUUAACAUGGAUCUGAACAGCAACUUCAGUCCAAACAUGCAGAAUCUGUUGGGAGGUUUCAGCUUUCAUGUUUUUUGAGAGUCAAUCCUGCCAAAUCUCAAUCAGAAAAUCUACUUGGAUUUUCACCAUUCAUUGACAGGGACUGGACUUCAUGGAAGUAACAUUUUUUGGACCUAACAAGUGAAAUCCAGAAAAAUGAUCACCCCAAAUAUCAUAUCUAUACUCAUCUGCAAGCCCUUCUUCCUCUUGCGCUUGAACAGCUUUUUGGUUGUGACGUUUGGAUCCAGGAGCCCGAGACUGCAAUGUAACAGCAGAAUUUGACACCAAGGAGGAGGGAGGCGACC